GUGGGCUUCAUACAUAGUAUGGGAAAGAGGCAGAAGGAGAAUAUGAAUUAUAUUUCAUACCAGUAAGAAGACAUGGGGCUAAGGAAGGAGUUCCAAGAACUCAGGAGAUGUCACUGUGUGGAACAAGACUCUUGCUUGUAUCUGUGAGCUUGAUGUCACAUUACCCCAGCAUUUCUUUCUGUGUCCUCAUCACUGUCUUCUUCUGUCUGCCCUUUAGCUUCUCCCUUUGUGUAUGCCUCUUGGCUCUCUAUCACAUCUCUUCAUCAGUGCCACUCUCUCUGUCACUUUCUAACCAUCUCUUUGUUUCCACUGACUUUCUCCCCUAACUAUAGCUCUUUCUGCCUCUCCCAUUCUUUCUAGACACAUCAUUAUCCUUAUGCAGUGCGCCGGUAUAAUUAAACUAAAAGUACCUGA
Molecule: long non-coding RNA, 414 nt
Filed under: Rattus norvegicus (Norway rat)
Lineage: Eukaryota; Metazoa; Chordata; Mammalia; Rodentia; Muridae
Description: long non-coding RNA NONRATT024201
Source: RNAcentral